Molecule: ribosomal RNA, 798 nt
Filed under: Schizomida sp. MCZ IZ-98834 106362
Lineage: Eukaryota; Metazoa; Arthropoda; Arachnida; Schizomida
Description: SSU rRNA
Rfam family: Eukaryotic small subunit ribosomal RNA
Source: RNAcentral
GCAUGUCUAAGUACGUGCCUUAGAAAGGUGAAACCGCGAAUGGCUCAUUAAAUCAGUUAUGGUUCCUUAGAUCGUACCUUACUACUUGGAUAACUGUGGUAAUUCUAGAGCUAAUACAUGCAGCAGAGCUCCGACCUUCGGGGACGAGCGCUUUUAUUAGACCAAGACCAAUCGGACUUCGGUCCGAAGCUCAUGGUGACUCUGGAUAACUUUGGGCUGAUCGCACGGUCUCGUACCGGCGACGCAUCUUUCAAGUGUCUGCCUUAUCAACUUUCGAUGGUAGGUUAUGCGCCUACCAUGGUCGUAACGGGUAACGGGGAAUCAGGGUUCGAUUCCGGAGAGGGAGCCUGAGAAACGGCUACCACAUCCAAGGAAGGCAGCAGGCGCGCAAAUUACCCACUCCCGGCACGGGGAGGUAGUGACGAAAAAUAACAAUACGGGACUCUAUUGAGGCCCCGUAAUUGGAAUGAGUACACUCUAAAUCCUUUAACGAGGAUCUAUUGGAGGGCAAGUCUGGUGCCAGCAGCCGCGGUAAUUCCAGCUCCAAUAGCGUAUAUUAAAGUUGUUGCGGUUAAAAAGCUCGUAGUUGGAUCUCAGUUCCAGACGGGUGGUCCACCCCUGGUGGCUACUGCCUGGCCUGAACAAAUCCAGCCGGUUUUCCUUGAUGCUCUUCACCGAGUGUCUUGGGUGACCGGCACGUUUACUUUGAAAAAAUUAGAGUGCUCAAAGCAGGCGUGACGCCUGAAUAAUGGUGCAUGGAAUAAUGGAAUACGACCUCGGUUCUAUUUUGUUGGUUUU